This 459-nucleotide ribosomal RNA is filed under the name uncultured bacterium. RNAcentral's name for it is "partial 16S ribosomal RNA". It matches the Rfam family "Bacterial small subunit ribosomal RNA", at positions 338 to 795 of the family's 1533-position model. The record is from RNAcentral.
CCUACGGGGGGCAGCAGUGAGGAAUAUUGGUCAAUGGGAGAGAUCCUGAACCAGCCAAGCCGCGUGAGGGAAGACGGCCCUAUGGGUUGUAAACCUCUUUUGUCGGGGAACAAAACCCGGGACGUGUCCCGGACUGCGUGUAUCCGAAGAAAAAGCAUCGGGUAACUCCGUGCCAGCAGCCGCGGUAAUACGGAGGAUGCGGGCGUUAUCCGGAUUUAUGGGGUUUAAAGGGUGCGUAGGCGGUCCGUUAAGUCAGCGGUAAAAUCGCGGGGCUCAACCCCGUCGAGCCGUUGAAACUGGCAGACUUGAGUUGGCGAGAAGUACGCGGAAUGCGCGGUGUAGCGGUGAAAUGCAUAGAUAUCGCGCAGAACUCCGAUUGCGAAGGCAGCGUACCGGCGCCAGACUGACGCUGAGGCACGAAAGCGUGGGGAUCGAACAGGAUUAGAUACCCGGGUAGUC